Molecule: long non-coding RNA, 369 nt
Filed under: Vigna radiata
Lineage: Eukaryota; Viridiplantae; Streptophyta; Magnoliopsida; Fabales; Fabaceae
Description: long non-coding RNA (VRAD_LNC008325)
Source: RNAcentral
AGUGAAAAGCAUUGAGCUCAAAUGUUGUGAAAAGAAAAAUUCAUGAGAAAAAGAAAAGAAAAGAAGAAAAGCAUGAAGAAGAGCUCGAUGCAAAAGAAAAAGAAAAGGGAAAAGUUGGGAAUGAGAGAGAUUGGUAAGGAAGAGAGUUGUGCUUAAUUGUUGAAUAUUUUAAUAGCUUUCUUGACUCAAGGAUUUUGUAUUCUAGAAAAACCAAUUCUUUCUUGUUAGCCCAACCUCAGUACAAGCCUUGGAAAAGUCCUUUUGAUGGCAUUUGCAUGUAAGGAUGUUGACUGUUUGAGAUGAAUGGCAAUUUUGUUUCAUGUGACUUGUGAACAAUAGAGAGUUGGAGUGUCACCUUAAACACUUGAG